RNAcentral lists this ribosomal RNA (250 nucleotides) under uncultured bacterium. Its description in RNAcentral is "partial 16S ribosomal RNA". It matches the Rfam family "Bacterial small subunit ribosomal RNA", at positions 524 to 773 of the family's 1533-position model. The record is from RNAcentral.
UACGAAGGGAGCUAGCGUUGUUCGGAAUUACUGGGCGUAAAGCGCGCGUAGGUGGUCAUACAAGUCAGAGGUGAAAUCCCACGGCUCAACCGUGGAACUGCCUUUGAAACUGUAUGGCUUGAGUUCGGAAGAGGAGAGUGGAAUUCCUAAUGUAGAGGUGAAAUUCGUAGAUAUUAGGAGGAACACCAGUGGCGAAGGCGGCUCUCUGGUCCGAUACUGACACUGAGGCGCGAAAGCGUGGGUAGCAAAC